Molecule: long non-coding RNA, 1129 nt
Organism: Arachis stenosperma
Lineage: Eukaryota; Viridiplantae; Streptophyta; Magnoliopsida; Fabales; Fabaceae
Exons: 4
Source: RefSeq, a predicted model, not a curated record
CUCUACCACCGCCACCCACCCUCAGCUAUUACUCUUCACCCAACAAACCACGGAAAGAAAGAAACAAAGGAAAAGGAAGCUGGAACAAGAAAAAGGGAGAAGGGGAAGAGAGAAGGGGGAGAUCCGUGAGGAAGGAAGAGCGCCGGGGAGGAGGAGCUUGCCGCUGCCAUGGCGUUCUGCUGCUCAUGCCGCUGCCAUCAUCCAGGGAGCUGCCAUUCCUGGUCAUCGUCGUCGAGCCCAUCAACCCCGUCGCCGCCGUUUGUCCUCACUGCGGCCAGCUGUGCCGUCGUGAAAGAAAGAUGCGACGGAGAAAGAGAGGGUCCACGGAGGGUUGCCGCCGUUCGCACCGUCAGCUUCAGGUCCGCGGAGGGUCGCCGCCGUUCACACCAUCAACUUCACGCAGAGCAACCAUGGCCGUCGAGGGUCCAUCCACGCCGUUGUUGAAGCUUAAACGCUGCUACAACCACUGCGAGUCAUCGUCUUCAGAUCUGCCAUAUUGGAGCGGAGCUCGGCCGUCCUCACUGCGGGAGUUUAUUACCGGAGGAGGAGAGGUGACGGUGGUGGAAGUUGCCGCCACUAUUCUGCCCUACUCACUGAACAGCACCAGAAAAUCACAGCUGCCGCUGCUAGAGGAUGCCCCUACAGUUGCUAAACCCCAUCCCACUCCAAUUUGGGUUCCGGCUCUGGUUCAUUUAUGCCAGGUUUUGUUCUCCUGAGUGUCGGAGCCGCCAUCUUCUUGGUUACUGCUGAACCAUCAGAGCUUUCGGCUGCUAUCGGAGCUGCUGUCCGGUCAAUUUGGAAGUUGCUAUUGUAUCGUUCUAUUCUGUUUAUCGUGAUAUGUGGUUGAUAGAAUUUUUGCGGUUGCUGCCGAUUAACAUGAGAAUAAGGAUUUAAUGGGUUUAAUUAUGCAACUUGCGACUAAUCAAGGAUAUGGGCGACGGAGCUUUAGAAGAGUUAUAUUCAUUUUCUAUUUAUUCGAUGUUAUUUUAUAUUAUCUUAGUUUUUACUUUUUCCUCGUCUUUAUUUCUAGCAAUUUUUACAAGAGGGAUAUGAGUUUUGAUAUGUGAAGUUUGUAUAUUGCUAUGAUGUGUAUAUAUUUAUGUAUUAUUUGUAAGAAUUGUAAUCAGUA